GGCUCUUUGAUCAAUAUAUAUAAAGAGUCGGGCCUGCCCAGUGAUAUAUUUAACGGCCGCGGUACUCUGACCGUGCAAAGGUAGCAUAAUCAUUUGCCUUAUAAUUGAAGGCUAGUAUGAAUGGUUUGACAAAAACAAAGCUGUCUCUUUUUAAUUUUUUAGAACUUGAUUUUUAGGUGAAGAAGCCUAAAUAUAAUUGAAAGACAAGAAGACCCUAUCGAGCUUUAAAAAAUUUUGUUAAGAUAAAAUAGUUAUAAAAACUAAUUAUAACAAAAAAUUUUAGUUGGGGCGACUAAGGAACAAAAAAGCUUCCAAUCCUAUAUUUAUAACAUAUUGGUUUUGAUCCAAAACCUUUGAUUAAAAGAAUUAGUUACCGUAGGGAUAACAGCAUAAUCUUUUUUGAGAGCUCUUAUCGAAAAAAAGGUUUGUGACCUCGAUGUUGGACUAGAAUAUCCUAAAUGGCGCAGAAGUCUUUAAGGGUUGGUCUGUUCGACCACUAAUAUUCUACGUGAUCUGAGUUCAGACCGG
RNAcentral lists this ribosomal RNA (528 nucleotides) under Hemistomia cockerelli. Its description in RNAcentral is "partial 16S ribosomal RNA". It matches the Rfam family "Bacterial large subunit ribosomal RNA", at positions 1817 to 2619 of the family's 2925-position model. Lineage: Eukaryota; Metazoa; Mollusca; Gastropoda; Littorinimorpha; Tateidae. The record is from RNAcentral.